Rhineura floridana is the source of this 3274-nucleotide long non-coding RNA. RefSeq lists it as uncharacterized. The record is from RefSeq and is a predicted model, not a curated record. Lineage: Eukaryota; Metazoa; Chordata; Lepidosauria; Squamata; Rhineuridae. The transcript is spliced from 5 exons.
UGUGGAAGAAACCAAUCUAUCCAAAGGGGAGGAAAGAGGGCGUUUUUGCUCUUGCGGGUACGAUUAAUUGAACCCCUGUCCUGGAAGGAAGUGGUUGCGUCCUUCUGAGCAUCUGGAGCUAACGGACAAAACCGCCGGUUCUUGGUUCUCCCCAUUCCCUCCUUACUGUUUCUGAAAAGCUUCCGGAAGAAACGCCAGGCCAUGGCGCCUGUAGGUCUGCGUUGGGGCUUCACCGGUAGGCAGGCGCAGCUUUCAUGAAGGCGGAAUGGUUCAAUCAUCUCUUCAAAGAAUUUCCAGCUGGAACAGAAAUUAUAAAGGAGACUUCACAGCAGGCCUCUGACUCAUUAUUUCACAGAUAUUCUAAGCCCUUCUCUAUCUACUCUUCCCUGGAGCCUAGCUGGGAGACACAGACAUUGCAUUGGAAACAUUCCUAAACUGAAGGUUCCAUUAUUGGGGGAGCUCAGAAAUCAAAAAGCAUCAUCCCCUUUUCCUCCUUCAAGCAAACUGGAUGUCAGCAGUCUAAAUGUAAGAGUCUAUGGAAAGAGAAUGUGGGAAAACUGGAGUCAAUUCCUGGGCUAAGUAAAUUCUCAGAAGAGUUAUCCUGCCCUCCCCCUAGCUGGAAACCCAAACUGAUUGUGGAGGAGUGGCAUCUGCAGGAGCAGACAUUCUCUGAGCUAAUUUGCGGGGGAAAGGCAUUGAGGUCUUGGGGUCUCCAUUUAGAAGUCCCUUCUCAAAACUAAAGAGAGUAUCUUAUGCUGAAAUAAAUCUGACUUUAAAGUGCCACAAGGCAUUUUGUUGUUUUUGCUGCUGCAGAGUUAACAUGGAUAUCCUUCUGAAAAGUGUCCUCUUCUCAAAGUAGCACUUCAGGAAUAUGAGCUGGUGACCAAACAUUCCUCUGCAUGUCUACUCAGAAGUAAGUUCCAUCGACGCUUUCAGUCUUACCCGGCUUCUUGUAUGUCACAUAAAUAUAAAGAAAGAGCUCAAUAGCAUAAGUGAUGAGAGCUGCCCGCCAGUCGAUGACGAACAUGACUCCACAACACAGCACAGCUCCAAAAAGGGACACCCACAAGUUGUAAUAUCUGAAGGCAGGUCUCCAACCUGUAGAAAGCAGAAGAGAGUAAAAAGGGCAAGAUUGAAAUAGGUCUCAUGUAUUUAUUAAAUUUAUAUCGUGUCUUCACAAGAACAUACCCAAACUCCCAACUUGCUAUUAUUGUGUGUGAAAUAGGAGUGCAAAUCUUUUUCGUCGGAUUUAAAACUGAAACAACUGUUAGUAUUACAUGGCAUGUGUUGGCAUGUGCAACGCUAGCAAGCAAGAGACUUGGAGGCUCUAGAGAUGUUAUUGACCCUGGUUUCCUUUUUUAUUAUUAUUCAACUGGUAUCAAAUUAGUUUUGCAUGCUUUUUGCAACGCUUCAAGCAGAUUCCUGGAAGAGCUGAAACUAAUCUUCAGAUGUGUUUCCAGUGCUGCUGUAAUACAUGUGUUCAUAUUUUCUGUAUUGUUUGAGACUCAUGCAUGGAACUGAUUUGGAACUGUCUUUGGAGGAGGGGGUGUAAAAUGGCUUUGUCUGUCCUGAAUUUUGUGCCAAUAACUUUACAAGUUCAGGUAGCAUGAAUGAAGGAGAAUAAAUUGCUAUCUGUUCACUUUUUCCAUGCCUUGCAUAUUUUUUUCUAAACCUGUCUCAUGACCCCCCUUAUUUUCCUUUUUUAAGUUUACAAAGACAUGCAUGAUAUAGAGGAAGAGGGAAAAGAGAAUCCCCACCUCUCAUAGUACUAGGAUUUGGGAUCACUCCAUGAAGUCUAUUGUCAAUGAUAGUUUAUGGUCCCUUCAGCUUCAGACCCAGGCCAUUUAGAACACUAAGGGCAAUCGUAAGCAUCUUGAAUGUUUAAAUUGGUUGAAUUUUUAAAGCUCAUUUCUACUAUUUUAAAGUUUUGUAGUUUGGAGGGGUUGGGGUGUCCUGAUAAAUAUUGGUUAGUCACAUGUUGGCAUUUCCUCUUUGUUAUAUUAAAGCUUUCUCUUACUAGAAGUUAAAAAUGGACACGUGGUGAUUUGCUGUUCUCUGCUAGCUGCUCUUCAGAAUGUAUUACUUGAAGCAAAAGAAACAGUAUAAUUCUGUGCUUGCUUUCGUGGAAGUAAGCCUCUGUUCAGCUGGUUUACUCCCAAGUAGAUGAGCAUAGAAGGACAAUCUCUCUAAGAUACAAAGUAGGACCCAGCAGUCCUAAGAUGUACCACCCUAAUAACAGUGGGAUGACAGGUGCUGCUGUGCAGAGUUUUUUCUGUUUUGUAUCCAUGCAGUUACGAGCACUUGUUUACUAAACUAGUUUGGGCAACCACAAUUAGCUGAGGAAAAAGAGCAAUGAUGGAGAAAUGGGUAUUGCUUUUUCUGGAAUGAAUCCAGGUCUUAAGUAAUCACAGUAUUCUAACCCAUGGCAUUCAAAGUAUAUACAGUAAUUGGUACUAAGGCUUCUGCCAGCAUGGAUCUAAUCUGCAAUUGUUUUGCUCUGCAGAUAAUUAGGGGAAGUCUGUCUUUUAAGCCUGCACUCUGAUCAGGCAGCAGCAUGGAAACUGAUAGGAACAGAGUUAAUAUAUAUAUUUAUGCCACCACUGUGGUUUCUUCCAUGCUGGAAAUAAGAGGGCUGUUUCUCUGCAGCUGAAAUAAAUAUCUCCAUGUGGUAUGACAAGCGAUUUGCAGCCAAAGGAAGUUGUUCUUUGAGUAAAAAAAGUAGGACUGUAAGCUUUAAACUCUGGCUUUAGCUGAUUUGAUCCAGAGAGGCUGCGAGUAAAGGGCACCAUCUAUUUUUUACUGAGGUUAGCUUUGCUUGUGGUGCAUUAUUGUAAUAGGCAAUGAAAAAGAAAAUCUGAAUGAUGGUCUUCUGACAAUGAGAGGUAGCUUUCAUUUAUUAAAUUACUAUUAUAGAAUGGCAUUUUUCCUGCAUUAUGUCAAAAAGGCAUCAAACUGAGGUUUGGUAAUAUGCAAAUCAUAUAAAUUUCAUUGAUUUUUUUAAAGGAUAAUUUGUCAAUCAAAAAUUCUAUGACCAGUGGAUGUCCCUGGUAAAAAGAUCAUAAGGGAGGGGGAACCAACUGGUAGAAGAUAAACUGGUAGAUUUAUUCUAUUUUAUGUAAACUAUUUAGAGAUUUUUUUUUAGAGUGAUAUGUAAAUCUUGCUAAACAAAAUAGAUUUCCAAUAAUUUAUGUUCUACUGCUUUUAAAGUCUGCUUUGAUUGUUAUUUUAAAUGAAUGUUUUAUACCAUUUUUGUAAACCACUUAGGUUUUUUAAA